Molecule: ribosomal RNA, 253 nt
Filed under: uncultured bacterium
Lineage: Bacteria
Description: partial 16S ribosomal RNA
Rfam family: Bacterial small subunit ribosomal RNA
Source: RNAcentral
UACGUAGGGUGCGAGCGUUAAUCGGAAUUACUGGGCGUAAAGCGUGCGCAGGCGGUUUUGUAAGCCAGAUGUGAAAUCCCCGGGCUUAACCUGGGAAUGGCAUUUGGGACUGCAAGGCUUGAGUGCGGCAGAGGAGACUGGAAUUCCUGGUGUAGCAGUGAAAUGCGUAGAUAUCAGGAGGAACACCAACGGCGAAAGCACUCUGCUGGGCCGACACUGACACUGAGAGACGAAAGCUAGGGGAGCAAAUGGG